Molecule: ribosomal RNA, 334 nt
Filed under: uncultured eukaryote
Lineage: Eukaryota
Description: partial 18S ribosomal RNA
Rfam family: Eukaryotic small subunit ribosomal RNA
Source: RNAcentral
CCCUUAGAUGUCCGGGGCUGUACGCGCGCUACACUGACUGGCUCAGCGUGUGCCUACCCUACGCCGGCAGGCGCGGGUAACCCGUUGAACCCCAUUCGUGAUGGGGAUCGGGGAUUGCAAUUAUUCCCCAUGAACGAGGAAUUCCCAGUAAGUGCGGGUCAUAAGCUUGCGUUGAUUAAGUCCCUGCCCUUUGUACACACCGCCCGUCGCUACUACCGAUUGGAUGGUUUAGUGAGGCCCUCGGAUCGGCCCCGCCGGGGUCGGCCCACGGCCCUGGCGGAGCGCUGAGAAGACGGUCGAACUUGACUAUCUAGAGGAAGUAAAAGUCGUAACA